GAGUGAGUGGCGGACGGGUGAGUAACACGUGGGUAACCUGCCCUAAAGUGGGGGAUAACAUUUGGAAACAGAUGCUAAUACCGCAUAAAACCUAACACCGCAUGGUGUAGGGUUGAAAGAUGGUUUCGGCUAUCACUUUAGGAUGGACCCGCGGUGCAUUAGUUAGUUGGUGAGGUAAAGGCUCACCAAGACCGUGAUGCAUAGCCGACCUGAGAGGGUAAUCGGCCACACUGGGACUGAGACACGGCCCAGACUCCUACGGGAGGCAGCAGUAGGGAAUCUUCCACAAUGGACGAAAGUCUGAUGGAGCAACGCCGCGUGAGUGAAGAAGGUUUUCGGAUCGUAAAACUCUGUUGUUGGAGAAGAAUGUAUCUGAUAGUAACUGAUCAGGUAGUGACGGUAUCCAACCAGAAAGCCACGGCUAACUACGUGCCAGCAGCCGCGGUAAUACGUAGGUGGCAAGCGUUGUCCGGAUUUAUUGGGCGUAAAGCGAGCGCAGGCGGUUUCUUAAGUCUGAUGUGAAAGCCUUCGGCUCAACCGAAGAAGUGCAUCGGAAACUGGGAAACUUGAGUGCAGAAGAGGACAGUGGAACUCCAUGUGUAGCGGUGAAAUGCGUAGAUAUAUGGAAGAACACCAGUGGCGAAGGCGGCUGUCUGGUCUGUAACUGACGCUGAGGCUCGAAAGCAUGGGUAGCAAACAGGAUUAGAUACCCUGGUAGUCCAUGCCGUAAACGAUGAGUGCUAGGUGUUGGAGGGUUUCCGCCCUUCAGUGCCGCAGCUAACGCAUUAAGCACUCCGCCUGGGGAGUACGACCGCAAGGUUGAAACUCAAAGGAAUUGACGGGGGCCCGCACAAGCGGUGGAGCAUGUGGUUUAAUUCGAAGCAACGCGAAGAACCUUACCAGGUCUUGACAUCCUUUGACCCUCUAGAGAUAGAGCUUUCCCUUCGGGGACAAAGUGACAGGUGGUGCAGGUUGUCGUCAGCUCCGGUCCUGGGAUGUUGGGUUAAGUCCCGCAACGACCGCACCCUUAUUACUAUUGCCAGCAUUAGUUGGGCCUCUUGUGG
RNAcentral lists this ribosomal RNA (1064 nucleotides) under Latilactobacillus sakei. RNAcentral's name for it is "bacterial SSU rRNA". It matches the Rfam family "Bacterial small subunit ribosomal RNA", at positions 89 to 1145 of the family's 1533-position model. The record is from RNAcentral. Lineage: Bacteria; Bacillati; Bacillota; Bacilli; Lactobacillales; Lactobacillaceae.